GGCGCCAUCGUCUAGCGGUCAGGACAGGGGGUUCUCAGCUCUCAAACCGGGGUUCGAUUCCCCGUGGCGCUACCA
This 75-nucleotide transfer RNA is filed under the name Pseudomonadota bacterium. Its description in RNAcentral is "tRNA-Glu". It matches the Rfam family "tRNA". Rfam says of the family: Transfer RNA (tRNA) molecules are approximately 80 nucleotides in length. The record is from RNAcentral. RNAcentral also lists the same sequence under 3 other names. Lineage: Bacteria; Pseudomonadati; Pseudomonadota.